This 60-nucleotide transfer RNA is filed under the name Loxodonta africana (African savanna elephant). It matches the Rfam family "tRNA", at positions 6 to 65 of the family's 71-position model. Rfam says of the family: Transfer RNA (tRNA) molecules are approximately 80 nucleotides in length. The record is from Rfam by way of RNAcentral. Lineage: Eukaryota; Metazoa; Chordata; Mammalia; Proboscidea; Elephantidae.
GGUGGUCCAGCGGUAGGAUUUUUGCCUUCCACACAGAAGACCCAGGUUCAAUUCCUGGCC